Procambarus clarkii (red swamp crayfish) is the source of this 352-nucleotide non-coding RNA. The record is from RefSeq and is a predicted model, not a curated record. NCBI's taxonomy places the organism in Eukaryota, Metazoa, Arthropoda, Malacostraca, Decapoda, Cambaridae.
GAUCAGAGGGUAGAGCUUGAACUUUAUGUGUAGUGAGGAGACUCUGCAUUCUCUACAGUGGUACAGCUUUACCCUCACACUCUACAGUGGUACAGCUUUACCCUCACACUCUACAGUGGUACAGCUUUACCCUCACACUCUACAGUGGUACAGCUUUACCCUCACACUCUACAGGUGUUCAGCUCUAUCCUCACAACUCUACAGGUGUUCACCUUUAUCCUCACACUCUACAGGUGCACAGCUUUAUCCUCACACUCUACAGGUGCACAGCUCUAUCCUCACAACUCUACAGGUGCACAGCUCUAUCCUCACAACUCUACAAAAUCGUCUCAUCAUUAUAUCGGUUCCAUAA